ACUAGGAUUAGAUACCCUAUUAUUUAGGGAUUAGAUAAGCUUUGAAGAAGUAGAAAAUUAAAUCAAACCUUAAAAGACAUGGCGGUAAGACAUCCACUCAGAGAAAUAUGCCAAUUAAAUUGAUAAUACCCACUGAAUCGUACUUAACCUUGAAAUCCAUCCUGUAUACCGCCGCCUAAAGGCUAGCUUAGUAGUGCUAGUCUAAACCAAGCUUGACUUGAAUAAGACAGGUCCAGGUGCAGACCAUGGUUAAGGGUUAGGCGUAUUGCUUCAAAAAAAUUAAUGGAUCUAUAAUAUGAAAAUCAUAGUGAAUUAGGAUUUGAAAGUUCUUCUUUUUUAUAAUAAUAGAAGGAAUUGAGCUCUGUCUUAUGUACACAUCGCCCGUCGCUC
This 390-nucleotide ribosomal RNA is filed under the name Ancistrona vagelli. Its description in RNAcentral is "partial 12S ribosomal RNA". It matches the Rfam family "Microsporidia small subunit ribosomal RNA", at positions 654 to 1204 of the family's 1311-position model. Lineage: Eukaryota; Metazoa; Arthropoda; Insecta; Psocodea; Menoponidae. The record is from RNAcentral.